CGAUUGAACGCUGGCGGAAUGCUUUACACAUGCAAGUCGAACGGCAGCACGGGGCAACCUGGUGGCGAGUGGCGAACGGGUGAGUAAUACAUCGGAACGUGCCCAAUCGUGGGGGAUAACGUAGCGAAAGUUACGCUAAUACCGCAUACGAUCUACGGAUGAAAGCGGGGGAUCGCAAGACCUCGCGCGAGUGGAGCGGCCGAUGUCAGAUUAGGUAGUUGGUGGGGUAAAAGGCUCACCAAGCCAACGAUCUGUAGCUGGUCUGAGAGGACGACCAGCCACACUGGAACUGAGACACGGUCCAGACUCCUACGGGAGGCAGCAGUGGGGAAUUUUGGACAAUGGGCGCAAGCCUGAUCCAGCCAUUCCGCGUGCAGGAUGAAGGCCUUCGGGUUGUAAACUGCUUUUGUACGGAACGAAACGGCGAGCUCUAAUACAGUUUGCUAAUGACGGUACCGUAAGAAUAAGCACCGGCUAACUACGUG
RNAcentral lists this ribosomal RNA (485 nucleotides) under uncultured bacterium. RNAcentral's name for it is "bacterial SSU rRNA". It matches the Rfam family "Bacterial small subunit ribosomal RNA", at positions 27 to 507 of the family's 1533-position model. The record is from RNAcentral.